This 1090-nucleotide long non-coding RNA is filed under the name Vulpes vulpes (red fox). Its description in RNAcentral is "lncRNA (ENSVVUG00000012566.1)". Lineage: Eukaryota; Metazoa; Chordata; Mammalia; Carnivora; Canidae. The record is from RNAcentral.
UGAGAUGUAACUACCAUAUAAUUUGCGUCUUUAAAAUAUACAAUUCAGUGGUCUUUUGCUUAUUCACAGAAUUGUGUAACUAUCGUCACUAUCAAUUUUAGAAUAUAUUCACCACCUCCCAAAAAAACUCUAUAUCCAUCAGCAAUCAUUCUUCCCUUACUUCUCCCCUAGCCCGAGGCAAUCAUUAAAAUGUCUGUCUCUAUGGAUUUGCCUCUUCUGGAUGUUUUAUAGAAAUGGAAUCAUAUAAUAUGUGGUCUUCUGUGUCUGACCUUGUUCACUUAACACAAUCUUUUCAAGAUUCAUCCAUGUGGUAUCAAGUACCUGUACUUUUUUAUUGCCAAAUAAUAUUCCAUUGUAUCAUAUACUACACUUUAUUUAUCAAUCAGGUGAAGACAUUUGAAUUACAUGUAUGAAUUCAGAUUUGCAUGGAAGGACUUGAACAUCCGUGACAGGCAUAAUGUUUUGAGACAGACAUAGUGGGAAUGAGGGUAGAGUGGGUUACGAAUGGGCAGUAACCCAUUUUACAAUUAUAAAACUUCUGUGUUCCAUCCCCCUCCCCAUCCUCUUUUCUAUCCCUCUCUUUCCUUUUCUAUUUUUGAGAAAUAAACCAGCUAAAGAGAUGAGUAAGUCAUGGAUCUGACUUUAUUCAUGCCCCAGUCUCUCCAACUUAGUACCAUACUGCAUUCCCCACUGCUCAGACCACAGAAGAGAAAGUCUCUGAAAUACCAGCCUAACUUCAACAAAACCUUUUCAAAUAAAUAAUUUCAUUCAACUGAAGAACUUCCAGUAGAUGAGAGAGCAUAAUAUGGCAUCCAGGACUCUCACACCAGGCUGUCUUUUAGCUACUGCCAAAAACAAGAAAAUGCUGGAUUGGCACAAGGGAAUCAGAAAUGAACAAGAUGCUGUCCUUGUCCUCAAGGAGCUCAGCAGUGUGGAGGGAGAGACGAGAGAGAUGCUAGUGUCAUCACAAUAUGGUGUGGUAAGUGCAACUGUUGAAGUGUGUGCAAGGGAUGCAGAUAUCACAAAGAAGAGUGUGAUUAUCUCUGUGGGAAGAUUUCAGGAAAGGCUUGCAAGAGGAUGUGACAACUAA